AGCUCCAGUAGCGUAUAUUAAAGCUGUUGCAGUUAAAAAGCUCGUAGUUGGAUCUUGGGCCCAGGCCUGCGGUCCGCCGUGAGGCGAGUACUGCAGUCCUGGCCUUCCUCUCGGUUUUCGCCCGGUGCCCUUAACUGAGUGCCAGGAGAGGCCGGAACGUUUACUUUGAAAAAAUUGGAGUGUUCAAAGCAGGCCUCGCGCCUGAACAGCAGAGCAUGGAAUAAUGGAAUAGGACCUCGGUUCUAUUGCGUUGGUUUUCGGAACUCGAGGUAAUGAUUAAGAGGGACUGACGGGGGCAUUCGUAUUGCGGUGUGAGAGGUGAAAUUCUUGGAUCGCCGCAAGACGACCGACUGCGAAAGCAUUUGCCAAGAAUGUUUUCAUUA
This 383-nucleotide ribosomal RNA is filed under the name Strongylocentrotus sp. RNAcentral's name for it is "partial small subunit ribosomal RNA". It matches the Rfam family "Eukaryotic small subunit ribosomal RNA", at positions 587 to 975 of the family's 1831-position model. Lineage: Eukaryota; Metazoa; Echinodermata; Echinoidea; Camarodonta; Strongylocentrotidae. The record is from RNAcentral.